RNAcentral lists this ribosomal RNA (609 nucleotides) under uncultured Lachnospiraceae bacterium. Its description in RNAcentral is "bacterial SSU rRNA". It matches the Rfam family "Bacterial small subunit ribosomal RNA", at positions 119 to 742 of the family's 1533-position model. The record is from RNAcentral. Lineage: Bacteria; Bacillati; Bacillota; Clostridia; Lachnospirales; Lachnospiraceae.
GAGCAACCUGCCUUUCAGAGGGGGAUAACAUUUGGAAACAGAUGCUAAUACCGCAUAAGAUUACAGUACCGCAUGAUACAGUGAUCAAAGGAGCAAUCCGCUGAAAGAUGGGCUCGCGUCCGAUUAGAUAGUUGGUGAGGUAACGGCUCACCAAGUCGACGAUCGGUAGCCGGACUGAGAGGUUGAACGGCCACAUUGGGACUGAGACACGGCCCAGACUCCUACGGGAGGCAGCAGUGGGGAAUAUUGCACAAUGGGCGAAAGCCUGAUGCAGCAACGCCGCGUGAGGGAAGACGGUUUUCGGAUUGUAAACCUCUGUUUUCGGUGACGAACAAAUGACGGUAACCGAGUAGGAAGCCACGGCUAACUACGUGCCAGCAGCCGCGGUAAUACGUAGGUGGCAAGCGUUAUCCGGAAUUACUGGGUGUAAAGGGAGCGCAGGCGGGAUAGCAAGUCAGCUGUGAAAACUAUGGGCUCAACCCAUAAACUGCAGUUGAAACUGUUAUUCUUGAGUGGAGUAGAGGCAAGCGGAAUUCCGAGUGUAGCGGUGAAAUGCGUAGAUAUUCGGAGGAACACCAGUGGCGAAGGCGGCUUGCUGGGCUCUAACUG